GAUGAACGCUGGCGGCGUGCCUAAUACAUGCAAGUCGAGCGAACAGACGAGGAGCUUGCUCCUCUGACGUUAGCGGCGGACGGGUGAGUAACACGUGGGUAACCUACCUAUAAGACUGGGAUAACUUCGGGAAACCGGAGCUAAUACCGGAUAAUAUAUUGAACCGCAUGGUUCAAUAGUGAAAGACGGUUUUGCUGUCACUUAUAGAUGGAUCCGCGCCGCAUUAGCUAGUUGGUAAGGUAACGGCUUACCAAGGCAACGAUGCGUAGCCGACCUGAGAGGGUGAUCGGCCACACUGGAACUGAGACACGGUCCAGACUCCUACGGGAGGCAGCAGUAGGGAAUCUUCCGCAAUGGGCGAAAGCCUGACGGAGCAACGCCGCGUGAGUGAUGAAGGUCUUCGGAUCGUAAAACUCUGUUAUUAGGGAAGAACAAAUGUGUAAGUAACUAUGCACGUCUUGACGGUACCUAAUCAGAAAGCCACGGCUAACUACGU
Molecule: ribosomal RNA, 496 nt
Filed under: uncultured bacterium
Lineage: Bacteria
Description: partial 16S ribosomal RNA
Rfam family: Bacterial small subunit ribosomal RNA
Source: RNAcentral